RNAcentral lists this ribosomal RNA (404 nucleotides) under uncultured cyanobacterium. Its description in RNAcentral is "partial 16S ribosomal RNA". It matches the Rfam family "Bacterial small subunit ribosomal RNA", at positions 355 to 774 of the family's 1533-position model. The record is from RNAcentral. Lineage: Bacteria; Bacillati; Cyanobacteriota.
UGGGGAAUUUUCCGCAAUGGGCGCAAGCCUGACGGAGCAAGACCGCGUGAGGGAAGAAGGUCUGUGGAUUGUAAACCUCUUUUGACAGGGAAGAAUUUGUGACGGUACCUGUCGAAUCAGCCUCGGCUAACUCCGUGCCAGCAGCCGCGGUAAUACGGAGGAGGCAAGCGUUAUCCGGAAUUAUUGGGCGUAAAGCGUCCGUAGGUGGGUGCAUGUGUCAGUUGUUAAAGAGUGGAGCUUAACUCCAUAGGAGCGAUUGAAACUGUGCAUCUAGAGUGCGAUAGGGGCAAGGGGAAUUCCCAGUGUAGCGGUGAAAUGCGUAGAUAUUGGGAAGAACACCGGUGGCGAAAGCGCCUUGCUGGGUCUGCACUGACACUGAGGGACGAAAGCUAGGGGAGCGAAAG